AAAGCUGGCAUCUUCGGUGUCCGCGUUGUAAUUUUGUGAGGCAUCUCCGGGUAGGGCGCCGGCCUAAGUUCCUUGGAACAGGACGUCACAGAGGGUGAGAAUCCCGUGCUUGGCUGGCUGUCCCCGUCCAUGUGAGGUGUCUUCGACGAGUCGAGUUGUUUGGGAAUGCAGCUCAAAAUGGGUGGUAAAUUUCAUCUAAAGCUAAAUAUUGGUGGGAGACCGAUAGCGCACAAGUAGAGUGAUCGAAAGAUGAAAAGCACUUUGAAAAUAGAGUUAAAAAGUACGUGAAAUUGUUGAAAGGGAAGCGCUUGAGACCAGACUUCGGUAGGGGGUGAUCAGCCGUGCUUCGGUGCGGUGCACUUGUUCCUCUCUGGGCCAGCAUCGGUUGAGGCGGCGGGAUAAAGGUCCCGGGAAUGUGGCUCCUUCACGGGAGUGUUAUAGCCCGGGUGAAUGCCGCCAGCUUCGACCGAGGACCGCGCCCGCAAGGGUUAGGAUGCUUGGCAUAAUGGUCUUCAGCGACCCGUCUUGAAACACGGGACC
RNAcentral lists this ribosomal RNA (540 nucleotides) under Morchella sextelata. RNAcentral describes it as "partial large subunit ribosomal RNA". It matches the Rfam family "Eukaryotic large subunit ribosomal RNA", at positions 118 to 664 of the family's 3401-position model. Lineage: Eukaryota; Fungi; Ascomycota; Pezizomycetes; Pezizales; Morchellaceae. The record is from RNAcentral.